This 253-nucleotide ribosomal RNA is filed under the name uncultured bacterium. RNAcentral describes it as "partial 16S ribosomal RNA". It matches the Rfam family "Bacterial small subunit ribosomal RNA", at positions 524 to 776 of the family's 1533-position model. The record is from RNAcentral.
UACGUAGGGUGCGAGCGUUGUCCGGAAUUAUUGGGCGUAAAGAGCUUGUAGGUGGUUUGUCGCGUCUGCUGUGAAAAUCCGAGGCUCAACCUCGGGUCUGCAGUCGAUACGGGCGGACUGGAGUUCGGCAGGGGAGACUGGAAUUCCUGGUGUAGCGGUGAAAUGCGCAGAUAUCAGGAGGAACACCGGUGGCGAAGGCGGGUCUCUGGGCCGAUACUGACGCUGAGGAGCGAAAGCGUGGGGAGCGAACAGG